This 253-nucleotide ribosomal RNA is filed under the name uncultured bacterium. RNAcentral's name for it is "partial 16S ribosomal RNA". It matches the Rfam family "Bacterial small subunit ribosomal RNA", at positions 524 to 776 of the family's 1533-position model. The record is from RNAcentral.
UACAGAGGGGGCAAGCGUUGUUCGGAAUUACUGGGCGUAAAGCGUGCGCAGGCGGUUAUGCAAGACAGAGGUGAAAUCCCCGGGCUCAACCUGGGAACUGCCUUUGUGACUGCAUGGCUAGAGUACGGUAGAGGGGGAUGGAAUUCCGCGUGUAGCAGUGAAAUGCGUAGAUAUGCGGAGGAACACCGAUGGCGAAGGCAAUCCCCUGGACCUGUACUGACGCUCAUGCACAAAAGCGUGGGGAGCAAACAGG